RNAcentral lists this ribosomal RNA (154 nucleotides) under Meloidogyne africana. RNAcentral describes it as "5.8S ribosomal RNA". It matches the Rfam family "5.8S ribosomal RNA". Rfam says of the family: 5.8S ribosomal RNA (5.8S rRNA) is a component of the large subunit of the eukaryotic ribosome. It is transcribed by RNA polymerase I as part of the 45S precursor that also contains 18S and 28S rRNA. The record is from RNAcentral. Lineage: Eukaryota; Metazoa; Nematoda; Chromadorea; Rhabditida; Meloidogynidae.
CUAGUCUCAUCGGUGGAUCACUCGGCUCGUGGAUCGAUGAAGAACGCAGCUAAAUGCGAUAAUUGGCGUGAACUGCAGAAACACUGAACACAAAAGGUUUGAAUGCAAAUUGCGCCAAUGGAGUCAGAUCCAUUGGCACGUCUGGCUCAGGGUU